UUAAGUUAGUAAGGGCGCACGGUGGAUGCCUUGGCACUAGGAGCCGAAGAAGGACGUGACAAACGACGAUAUGCCUUGGGUAGCUGUAAGUAAGCGAUGAUCCAGGGAUUUCCGAAUGGGGGAACCCAACAGGUACUACCUGUUACCCAUAUCUGUUAAGGAUAUGAGGAGGAAGACGCAGUGAACUGAAACAUCUAAGUAGCUGCAGGAAGAGAAAGCAAAAGCGAUUGCCUUAGUAGCGGCGAGCGAAACGGCAGGAGGGCAAACCGAAGAGUUUACUCUUCGGGGUUGUAGGACUGCAAUGUGGACUCAGAAUUUAUAGAAGAAUGGCUUGGGAAAGUCAGCCAAAGAGAGUAAGAGCCUCGUAUUUUAAAUAGAUUCUGUACCUAGCAGUAUCCUGAGUACGGCGGGACACGUGAAAUCCCGUCGGAAUCUGGGAGGACCAUCUCCCAACCCUAAAUACUCCCUAGUGACCGAUAGUGAACCAGUACCGUGAGGGAAAGGUGAAAAGCACCCCGGGAGGGGAGUGAAAUAGAACCUGAAACCGUGUGCCUACAACAAGUUCGAGCCCGUUAAUGGGUGAGAGCGUGCCUUUUGUAGAAUGAACCGGCGAGUUACGAUAUGAUGCGAGGUUAAGUUGAAGAGACGGAGCCGUAGGGAAACCGAGUCUGAAUAGGGCGCUUUAGUAUCAUGACGUAGACCCGAAACCAUGUGACCUACCCAUGAGCAGGUUGAAGGUGCGGUAAAACGCACUGGAGGACCGAACCAGGGCACGUUGAAAAGUGCUUGGAUGACUUGUGGGUAGCGGAGAAAUUCCAAACGAACUUGGAGAUAGCUGGUUCUCUCCGAAAUAGCUUUAGGGCUAGCGUCGACAUAAAGAUUCUUGGAGGUAGAGCACUGUUUGGGUGAGGGGUCCAUCCCGGAUUACCAAUCUCAGAUAAACUCCGAAUGCCAAUGAAUUAUGGUCGGCAGUCAGACUGCGAGUGCUAAGAUCCGUAGUCGAAAGGGAAACAGCCCAGACCACCAGCUAAGGUCCCAAAAUAAUUGUUAAGUGGAAAAGGAUGUGGGGUUGCACAGACAACUAGGAUGUUAGCUUAGAAGCAGCUAUUCAUUCAAAGAGUGCGUAAUAGCUCACUAGUCGAGUGACCCUGCGCCGAAAAUGUACCGGGGCUAAAACAAUUUACCGAAGCUGUGGAUACCUUUAUAGGUAUGGUAGGAGAGCGUUCUAUGUGUGAAGAAGGUGUACCGUGAGGAGUGCUGGAACGCAUAGAAGUGAGAAUGCCGGUAUGAGUAGCGAAAGACAGGUGAGAAUCCUGUCCACCGUAAGACUAAGGUUUCCAGGGGAAGGCUCGUCCGCCCUGGGUUAGUCGGGACCUAAGGAGAGACCGAAAGGUGUAUCCGAUGGACAACAGGUUGAUAUUCCUGUACUAGAGUAUGUAGUGAUGGAGGGACGCAGUAGGCUAACUAAAGCAGACGAAUGGAAGAGUCUGUCUAAGCAGUGAGGUGUGAAUUGAGUCAAAUGCUUAGUUCUAUAACAUUGAGCUGUGAUGGGGAGCGAAGUUUAGUAGCGAAGUUAGUGACGUCACACUGCCAAGAAAAGCUUCUAGCGUUUAAACAUACUCUACCCGUACCGCAAACCGACACAGGUAGUCGAGGCGAGUAGCCUCAGGUGAGCGAGAGAACUCUCGUUAAGGAACUCGGCAAAAUGACCCCGUAACUUCGGGAGAAGGGGUGCUGACUUUACGUCAGCCGCAGUGAAUAGGCCCAAGCAACUGUUUAUCAAAAACACAGCUCUCUGCUAAAUCGUAAGAUGAUGUAUAGGGGGUGACGCCUGCCCGGUGCUGGAAGGUUAAGAGGAGUGCUUAGAGGUAACUCGAAGGUAUGAAUUGAAGCCCCAGUAAACGGCGGCCGUAACUAUAACGGUCCUAAGGUAGCGAAAUUCCUUGUCGGGUAAGUUCCG
Molecule: ribosomal RNA, 1960 nt
Filed under: human metagenome
Description: bacterial LSU rRNA
Rfam family: Bacterial large subunit ribosomal RNA
Source: RNAcentral